CCAAUAGCGUAUAUUAAAGUUGUUGCAGUUAAAAAGCUCGUAGUUGAAUUUUAGGCCUGGCCGGGCGGUCCGUCUUUGGCGAGUACUGUCCUGUGUCGGGUUUUACCUUCUGGUAAACCGGCAUGUUCUUUUAUUGUGUGUGCCGUGGGAACCAGACCAUUACCUUGAAAAAAUUAGAGUGUUUAAAGCGGGCUUUUGCUUGAAUAGAUUAGCAUGGAAUAAUAAAAUAGGACGUUGGUUCUAUUUUGUUGGUCUAGGACCACCGUAAUGAUUAAUAGGGAUAGUUGGGGGCAUUAGUAUUCAAUUGUCAGAGGUGAAAUUCUUGGAUUUAUUGGAGACUAACUACUGCGAAAGCAUUUGCCAAGGAUGUUUUCAUUAAUCAAGAACGAAAGUUAGGGGAUCGAAGACGAUCAGAUACCGUCGUAGUCUUAACCAUAAACUAUGCCGACUAGGAAUCGGGCGUCGUUAUUUUCACGACUCGCUCGGCGCCUUAUG
Molecule: ribosomal RNA, 495 nt
Filed under: uncultured Glomeromycotina
Lineage: Eukaryota; Fungi; Glomeromycota
Description: partial small subunit ribosomal RNA
Rfam family: Eukaryotic small subunit ribosomal RNA
Source: RNAcentral